UGAUCAAGUGGAAGAAAGAUGGCAUCCAUCUAGCCUUGGGAAUGGAUGAAAGGAAGCAGCAACUUUCAAAUGGGUCUCUGCUGAUACAAAACAUACUUCAUUCCAGACACCACAAGCCAGAUGAGGGACUUUACCAAUGUGAGGCAUCUUUAGGAGAUUCUGGCUCAAUUAUUAGUCGGACAGCAAAAGUUGCAGUAGCAGGGCAAUGAAAAAUAGGCAACAAAUCCUGAGACAUACAUAUUGUAAUCUUGGAUCAGAUAUCUGCCUUUGCAGUCUGUGAACACAAACUGGCAAGCCUGAAUUGAGUUUUCAAAAAGUUAAAUCUAUGGAGAUUUAUUGGCAAGCAGUGCCCAAAUCCCUUGGAAUAAAAGAUUCACUUUUGACCAGUGGAUCUACUAUUAUGUUAAUGCAAUCAAUAUAGUUUGUACUGACCAGAGCAGGCGUUUGAGAUUGAGUGACCUUGCAAUCAUUUCCGAAACACGUACAGGGCACUCCUCUCAGCCUUCUUAAUGGCUUU
RNAcentral lists this small RNA (517 nucleotides) under Pongo abelii (Sumatran orangutan). RNAcentral describes it as "processed transcript". Lineage: Eukaryota; Metazoa; Chordata; Mammalia; Primates; Hominidae. The record is from RNAcentral.